RNAcentral lists this ribosomal RNA (483 nucleotides) under uncultured bacterium. Its description in RNAcentral is "partial 16S ribosomal RNA". It matches the Rfam family "Bacterial small subunit ribosomal RNA", at positions 30 to 507 of the family's 1533-position model. The record is from RNAcentral.
UUGCACGCUAGCGGGAUGCUUUACACCUGCCAGUCGAACGGCAGCGCGGACUUCGGUCUGGCGGCGAGUGGCGAACGGGUGAGUAAUGUAUCGGAACGUGCCCAGUAGCGGGGGAUAACUACGCGAAAGCGUAGCUAAUACCGCAUACGCCCUACGGGGGAAAGCAGGGGAUCGUAAGACCUUGCACUAUUGGAGCGGCCGAUAUCGGAUUAGCUAGUUGGUGAGGUAACGGCUCACCAAGGCGACGAUCCGUAGCUGGUUUGAGAGGACGACCAGCCACACUGGGACUGAGACACGGCCCAGACUCCUACGGGAGGCAGCAGUGGGGAAUUUUGGACAAUGGGGGCAACCCUGAUCCAGCCAUCCCGCGUGUGCGAUGAAGGCCUUCGGGUUGUAAAGCACUUUUGGCAGGAAAGAAACGUCGCGGGCUAAUACCCCGUGGAACUGACGGUACCUGCAGAAUAAGCACCGGCUAACUACGUG